UUUAGUGAAAUGUUUAGGGAAAAUUACAUCUUUAGUCGCUGAGUUAUAACCAAGUUCCGAUUCAGUCCUAAGUUAUGGCCAUAUCCGAGUUUAAUCAUUCGGUUAUGAGCAAAGUGGCGAGUUUAGUACCUACCGUUA
Molecule: long non-coding RNA, 138 nt
Organism: Ipomoea nil (Japanese morning glory)
Lineage: Eukaryota; Viridiplantae; Streptophyta; Magnoliopsida; Solanales; Convolvulaceae
Exons: 3
Source: RefSeq, a predicted model, not a curated record